Molecule: transfer RNA, 84 nt
Filed under: Obba rivulosa
Lineage: Eukaryota; Fungi; Basidiomycota; Agaricomycetes; Polyporales; Gelatoporiaceae
Rfam family: tRNA
About the family: Transfer RNA (tRNA) molecules are approximately 80 nucleotides in length. Their secondary structure includes four short double-helical elements and three loops (D, anti-codon, and T loops). Further hydrogen bonds mediate the characteristic L-shaped molecular structure. tRNAs have two regions of fundamental functional importance: the anti-codon, which is responsible for specific mRNA codon recognition, and the 3' end, to which the tRNAs corresponding amino acid is attached (by aminoacyl-tRNA synthetases). tRNAs cope with the degeneracy of the genetic code in two manners: having more than one tRNA (with a specific anti-codon) for a particular amino acid; and 'wobble' base-pairing, i.e. permitting non-standard base-pairing at the 3rd anti-codon position.
Source: Rfam by way of RNAcentral
GUCCGUCUAGCUCAAUCGGAUAGAGCGUCAGGCUCUUACUAGCGGGUGAUCUGAAGGCUACGAGUUCGACCCUCGUGGUGCGCU